This 392-nucleotide long non-coding RNA is filed under the name Rhinopithecus bieti (black snub-nosed monkey). Its description in RNAcentral is "lncRNA (ENSRBIG00000045896.1)". The record is from RNAcentral. Lineage: Eukaryota; Metazoa; Chordata; Mammalia; Primates; Cercopithecidae.
UAUGAUGAGAGUUUUUAUUGUUCUUACCUACAGUGUUCUUGAUUGAAAUGAUGUUAACCUAGUUUUAAUCAAUGAAAAACAAGAACUUGAAGUCCUAUAAACUGAAGAAUAAUAUCCUUUGGCAGUAAGUGGUGAUAAACUUACUAGAAGCCACUAGAGGCACGCACCUGCUUAGUGCUCAUGUUUGCUUCUCUUCCAACCUGCCUGGAGAAAGAACAUCCUUCUAGAGGAAAACUGGAGGUUUCUGUCAAUCAAGACGUGAAAUGAGGCUCCACAGCCAGGGACAUCCCUCUCCUCUCCCUUUGCCAGCUGGUCAGGGUCUUCCCCUCAACUUGCUCGGAGGCCUUAUCUUUCAGUAUCCAUCGUUACACUGAUCUGCACUGAAUUCUUGA